AAUCCGUCGAUUUUCGAAAUCGUGAGGGUUCAAGUC
Molecule: transfer RNA, 36 nt
Filed under: Valerianella locusta (common cornsalad)
Lineage: Eukaryota; Viridiplantae; Streptophyta; Magnoliopsida; Dipsacales; Caprifoliaceae
Description: partial tRNA-Leu
Source: RNAcentral